This 71-nucleotide transfer RNA is filed under the name bacterium. RNAcentral describes it as "tRNA-Gly". It matches the Rfam family "tRNA". From Rfam's summary of the family: Transfer RNA (tRNA) molecules are approximately 80 nucleotides in length. Their secondary structure includes four short double-helical elements and three loops (D, anti-codon, and T loops). The record is from RNAcentral.
GCGGGUGUAGUUUAGUGGUAAAAUAGGUUCUUGCCAAGAAUCAGUUCCGGGUUCGAUUCCCGGCAUCCGCA